GUGUGUGUGUGUGUGUGUGUGUGUGUGUGUGUGUGUGUGUGUGUGUGUGUGUGUGUGUGUGUGUGUGUGUGUGUGUGUGUGUGUGUGUGUGUGUGUGUGUGUGUGUGUGUGUGUGUGUGUGUGUUUGUGUGCGCGCGCGCUGCGGUUGUGUGCGAUUUUUUCGUCUUAUUUGGUUGCCGUUCGCCCAAGUUUUGCGGCACAUGCCGAUCUUGACAUGCCGAACAAGUGCUGUGUGCCGGCAUGUUCAAGUAAUUACAUAACAGGGGAAAAGGCCCAAGUGUUUUCCUUCCCGAAGGACGAAGUGCUGCGCACGAAGUGGCUGAGGGCGAUUCCGCGGAAGGAUUUUGCUCCUACAGAGAAUAACAAGGUAUGCGCGCUGCACUUCGAUGAAUCAUGCCUUGAACGAAAGACUUCGUACACGGAUUCUAGGACAGGGCGAGUGCUUGAAGUUUCUUUGAAAGCACCACGUCUUCGCCAAGGAUCAGUGCCUACCCUUUUUCCGGGAUGCCCAUCGUACUUGUC
This 522-nucleotide long non-coding RNA is filed under the name Dermacentor andersoni. Its description in RNAcentral is "uncharacterized LOC126548460". Lineage: Eukaryota; Metazoa; Arthropoda; Arachnida; Ixodida; Ixodidae. The record is from RNAcentral.